UGUCCUACGGGGGGCUGCAGUGGGGAAUAUUGGACAAUGGGGGAAACCCUGAUCCAGCGAUGCCGCGUGUGCGAAGAAGGCCUGCGGGUUGUAAAGCACUUUAGUUGGGGAAGAAAUCUCAUGAUGCGAAUAGCAUUAUGAGUUGACGUUACCCAAAGAAUAAGCACCGGCUAACUCUGUGCCAGCAGCCGCGGUAAUACAGAGGGUGCGAGCGUUAAUCGGAAUUACUGGGCGUAAAGGGCGCGUAGGCGGUUGUAUAAGUUAGAUGUGAAAUCCCCGGGCUUAACCUGGGAAUGGCAUUUAAUACUGUAUGACUAGAGUAGAGUAGAGGGAAGUGGAAUUUCCGGUGUAGUGGUGAAAUACGUAGAUAUCGGAAAGAACACCAGUGGCGAAGGCGGCUUCCUGGACUCAUACUGACGUUGAGGCGCGAAAGCGUGGGUAGCAAACAGGAUUAGAUACCCUAGUAGUCA
RNAcentral lists this ribosomal RNA (470 nucleotides) under uncultured Coxiellaceae bacterium. Its description in RNAcentral is "bacterial SSU rRNA". It matches the Rfam family "Bacterial small subunit ribosomal RNA", at positions 335 to 796 of the family's 1533-position model. Lineage: Bacteria; Pseudomonadati; Pseudomonadota; Gammaproteobacteria; Legionellales; Coxiellaceae. The record is from RNAcentral.